GAAUGUGUCAAUAUCAUAACACCCUGAAUACGAAGGAUCUCUUCUGAACUCAGAAGCUAAGCAGGGUUGGGCCUGUUUUGUAUUUGGAUGGCAGACUUCCUGGGAAUUCCAUGUGCUGCAGUCG
RNAcentral lists this ribosomal RNA (124 nucleotides) under Chinchilla lanigera (long-tailed chinchilla). The record is from RNAcentral. Lineage: Eukaryota; Metazoa; Chordata; Mammalia; Rodentia; Chinchillidae.